AUCUAUGGCCAUGCCACUCUCAGCGUGCCCGAUCUCAUCUGAUCUCGGAAGCUAAGCAGGAUUGGGCCUGGUUAGUACUUGGAUGGGAGACCACCUAGGAAGACCAGGCGCUGUAAGCG
RNAcentral lists this ribosomal RNA (119 nucleotides) under Pteropus alecto (black flying fox). The record is from RNAcentral. Lineage: Eukaryota; Metazoa; Chordata; Mammalia; Chiroptera; Pteropodidae.